GGGUUGUAAACUACUUUUAUACAGGAAGAAACACUGGUAUGUAUACCAGCUUGACGGUACUGUAAGAAUAAGGACCGGCUAACUCCGUGCCCGCCGCCGC
Molecule: ribosomal RNA, 100 nt
Filed under: uncultured Polaribacter sp.
Lineage: Bacteria; Pseudomonadati; Bacteroidota; Flavobacteriia; Flavobacteriales; Flavobacteriaceae
Description: partial 16S ribosomal RNA
Rfam family: Bacterial small subunit ribosomal RNA
Source: RNAcentral